Long non-coding RNA from Helianthus annuus (common sunflower), 1135 nucleotides. RefSeq lists it as uncharacterized. The transcript has 2 exons. Lineage: Eukaryota; Viridiplantae; Streptophyta; Magnoliopsida; Asterales; Asteraceae. The record is from RefSeq and is a predicted model, not a curated record.
UUUUUUUUUACCAUAAGCCGUCACUUGCCGCUGACUAGUGAAACACAAAAAGACCUUGAAAAUCUCUACUUUCCAAGCUUAAUGUCAUACUCAUCAUCAGCUUACCGAAAUAUUAGACUAGUUAUAUAUAUAAUUAUCAUAACUAAAACAUUUAAGUGUAAUCUUAUUUUCUAUAUAUAUUUACUGCUAUUUCUAAAUAGUAGUUUUAAUACAAAAAUCUAAGAAAUUGCCACUUUAAGUGCAACAAAGGCCUAACCACUAUCACCACUAGAUGCCAAACACCCUCUAAACAGCAAAACCUAAAAGCAAACCAACACGAUAUCCACACUAGAACAUGAACAAUGAAUGCAUACCAAAACUUCAAACCGAACAAACAAACGAUUACCUAAAAUCACUCUAACCGCAUCUGCAAAACUCCGAUUCCUCACUCCAUUCACCGGAUCCGGAGACCGAUAACAAUCAGACAACAACGACGACGAAACAUACGUCACAACCGCAAAAAACAACAACGCAACAGGUCCUCCGAUCCAACCUAACUUUGACACGCUCCACGCGAGCGAAAGCACUCCAGAUCCGAUCACAGCGGUUAUUAUGUGCGCAACUGAACUCCACAGCGUACCUGUUUCAGAUGUUCGAUUCACAUCAUUUCAAUUCAAUCAGAAAACACGCAAAUGAAGUGUUGAACACUCAGAUGAGAUCUACCUGUUCUUACUGUGAUUUUAUGAUCAUCGGUUGUGGAAACUUGCGGAAGAAGUUUACGUUCGACUGUUAGGUCUAUUGAUUUGUGAUUGAAAUCUGAGAGCUGCAGCAUUGGAGUCUGUUCUUCGUGUUUUGAGGAAGAGUUUGCAAGUGAAAGUGUUGUUCCUCAUUGGAGGCUGCAAGUCAAACUCUUUCUUAAUGGUGUAAUUUAAGCUCAUUAUUAAUUAAUUGUGAUUAUAAAGGGUAAUUUGUUACGGAAGUUUAGCGUGUUUGGUUUGUAUCGCUGACUGACAUUAGAUGUUAAGUUGAUGUGAAAUGACUGUUAUGUGUUUGGUUUGUAAUGCUGACUAAGGUUAGAUGUUAAGUUGAUGUGAAAUGACUAUUAUGUGUUUCGCUUGUAACGGUGAAUGAGGUUAGAUGUUAAGUUGAUGUGAAA